RNAcentral lists this non-coding RNA (160 nucleotides) under Megamonas hypermegale. Lineage: Bacteria; Bacillati; Bacillota; Negativicutes; Selenomonadales; Selenomonadaceae. The record is from RNAcentral.
GAAUAGGUGUCUAUCUAUUAGACUUAAUAGGGAAUUCGGUAUAAGCCGAAGCGGUCCCGCCACUGUAAAGACGAGCAAUUUCACAUUUAUGUCAUUGGGAAUAUUCCUGAGAAGGCGUGAAUAGCGAUGACUCUGAGCCAGGAGAACUGCCUAUUUAAUA